Pelobates cultripes (western spadefoot toad) is the source of this 753-nucleotide non-coding RNA. The record is from the annotation of a GenBank genome assembly. NCBI's taxonomy places the organism in Eukaryota, Metazoa, Chordata, Amphibia, Anura, Pelobatidae.
CUAAAGCCAGGUGUAUUUAACCUUUGUGUAAUAUGUGCACACACAACAGUCCUGUUUUGUUUAAAACCUUUAAAAUAUAUUGUAGCAAGAGAGCAAUUUUACGGAUAAUGUAUAAAUGUAACGUGUGGCGGGACCGUUGUCUGCUCAUGAAUUGCUGUUAUAAUCUGUGUGUUCCCCUACCCUUUAGUAGAAAUGUGCCUGCUCCCAGGGACCACCCCGAUACCUUAUGUAGAAUGUUGGUUUAGAAUGUUCACACCUCACAACAAGGUGUCAAACCGCAGAGAGACCAUUGGCGCGUGCCGACCCUGGGUGGACGCCAUUUCGCACAGACGAACGCCAAUCAUGGGGAGCAUUCAUGGAUUGUGUCUCAUGAACAAGGGCCUCCCCAAUCAACUAGAACAUCUACAACUCACAACAUAAGUGUGAAACCACAAGGGAAGUAAUUAAUGAGUGCUCCCGGGGGUGGCCGCCAUUCGUAUAGAUGAACGCCAUGCAGGGGGAGCAUUCAUAUCCUGAAAGGAGACCCUUCCCUUGCCUGGUUUCACAGGGACCCCAUGAACAGCGGCUGUUCGAGGCAGGUAUCGUUGUGGGGGUCCCUGGGGAUUGGUGUGGGCUCCCUUUGGCGACAAUGGCCGGUUUGGCGGGCCAUCUGUACCUGGGAACCAAAGAGGCAGGAAGGUUUCCCGCUCUGUGAUUUCCAGGUACAGAGGCUCAAGGGAAGAAAACCCUGAGUGUCGGGCUUUCUAGGCCUGG